CAAGUCGAGCGGACAGAAGGGAGCUUGCUCCCGGAUGUUAGCGGCGGAUGGGUGAGUAACACGUGGGUAACCUGCCUGUAAGACUGGGAUAACUCCGGGAAACCGGAGCUAAUACCGGAUAGUUCCUUGAACCGCAUGGUUCAAGGAUGAAAGACGGUUUCGGCUGUCACUUACAGAUGGACCCGCGGCGCAUUAGCUAGUUGGUGGGGUAAUGGCUCACCAAGGCGACGAUGCGUAGCCGACCUGAGAGGGUGAUCGGCCACACUGGGACUGAGACACGGCCCAGACUCCUACGGGAGGCAGCAGUAGGGAAUCUUCCGCAAUGGACGAAAGUCUGACGGAGCAACGCCGCGUGAGUGAUGAAGGUUUUCGGAUCGUAAAGCUCUGUUGUUAGGGAAGAACAAGUGCGAGAGUAACUGCUCGCACCUUGACGGUACCUAACCAGAAAGCCACGGCUAACUACGUGCCAGCAGCCGCGGUAAUACGUAGGUGGCAAGCGUUGUCCGGAAUUAUUGGGCGUAAAGGGCUCGCAGGCGGUUUCUUAAGUCUGAUGUGAAAGCCCCCGGCUCAACCGGGGAGGGUCAUUGGAAACUGGGAAACUUGAGUGCAGAAGAGGAGAGUGGAAUUCCACGUGUAGCGGUGAAAUGCGUAGAGAUGUGGAGGAACACCAGUGGCGAAGGCGACUCUCUGGUCUGUAACUGACGCUGAGGAGCGAAAGCGUGGGGAGCGAACAGGAUUAGAUACCCUGGUAGUCCACGCCGUAAACGAUGAGUGCUAAGUGUUAGGGGUUUCCGCCCCUUA
This 801-nucleotide ribosomal RNA is filed under the name Bacillus pumilus. RNAcentral describes it as "bacterial SSU rRNA". It matches the Rfam family "Bacterial small subunit ribosomal RNA", at positions 58 to 842 of the family's 1533-position model. The record is from RNAcentral. Lineage: Bacteria; Bacillati; Bacillota; Bacilli; Caryophanales; Bacillaceae.